CCUUGUUUGACCAUUGAUGGU
Molecule: unclassified non-coding RNA, 21 nt
Filed under: Dictyostelium discoideum
Lineage: Eukaryota; Evosea; Eumycetozoa; Dictyosteliales; Dictyosteliaceae
Source: RNAcentral